RNAcentral lists this transfer RNA (72 nucleotides) under human gut metagenome. It matches the Rfam family "tRNA". Rfam says of the family: Transfer RNA (tRNA) molecules are approximately 80 nucleotides in length. Their secondary structure includes four short double-helical elements and three loops (D, anti-codon, and T loops). The record is from RNAcentral. RNAcentral also lists the same sequence under 1 other name.
AAGCUUAGCUCAGUUGGUUCAGAGCACUUGCCUUACAAGCAAGGGGUCGCUGGUUCGAGCCCAGCAGUUUCC